This 336-nucleotide unclassified non-coding RNA is filed under the name soil metagenome. RNAcentral describes it as "partial contains 5.8S ribosomal RNA, internal transcribed spacer 2, and large subunit ribosomal RNA". The stretch from base 2 to 119 matches the Rfam family "5.8S ribosomal RNA", at positions 37 to 154 of the family's 154-position model. The record is from RNAcentral.
GUGAAGAACGCAGCGAAAUGCGAUAAGUAGUGUGAAUUGCAGAAUUCAGUGAAUCAUCGAAUCUUUGAACGCACAUUGCGCCCCUUGGUAUUCCAUGGGGCAUGCCUGUUCGAGCGUCAUUUGUACCUUCAAGCUCUGCUUGGUGUUGGGUGUUUGUCUCGCCUCUGCGUGUAGACUCGCCUCAAAACAAUUGGCAGCCGGCGUAUUGAUUUCGGAGCGCAGUACAUCUCGCGCUUUGCACUCAUAACGACGACGUCCAAAAGUACAUUUUUACACUCUUGACCUCGGAUCAGGUAGGGAUACCCGCUGAACUUAAGCAUAUCAAUAAGCGGAGGA